UACGUAGGGUGCAAGCGUUGUCCGGAAUUAUUGGGCGUAAAGAGCUCGUAGGCGGUUUGUCGCGUCUGCUGUGAAAUCUGGAGGCUCAACCUCCAGCCUGCAGUGGGUACGGGCAGACUAGAGUGCGGUAGGGGAGAUUGGAACUCCUGGCGUAGCGGUGAAAUGCGCAGAUAUCGGGAAGAACACCCGUGGCGAAGGCGGCACUCUGGGACGGUACUGACGCUGAGACGCGAAAGCGUGGGGAGCGAACAGG
This 253-nucleotide ribosomal RNA is filed under the name uncultured bacterium. Its description in RNAcentral is "partial 16S ribosomal RNA". It matches the Rfam family "Bacterial small subunit ribosomal RNA", at positions 524 to 776 of the family's 1533-position model. The record is from RNAcentral.